AUUAAACGCUGGCGGCAUGCCUUACACAUGCAAGUCGAACGGCAGCACGGGGGCAACCCUGGUGGCGAGUGGCGGACGGGUGAGUAAAGCAUCGGAACGUAUCCUGGAGUGGGGGAUAACGUAGCGAAAGUUACGCUAAUACCGCAUAUUCUGUGAGCAGGAAAGCAGGGGAUCGCAAGACCUUGCGCUCUGGGAGCGGCCGAUGUCGGAUUAGCUAGUUGGUGGGGUAAAGGCUUACCAAGGCGACGAUCUGUAGCGGGUCUGAGAGGAUGACCAGCCACACUGGGACUGAGACACGGCCCAGACUCCUACGGGAGGCAGCAGUGGGGAAUUUUGGACAAUGGGCGAAAGCCUGAUCCAGCCAUUCCGCGUGCAGGAUGAAGGCCCUCGGGUUGUAAACUGCUUUUGUACGGAACGAAACGGUCCUGGUUAAUACCUGGGGCUAAUGACGGUACCGUAAGAAUAAGCACCGGCUAACUACGUGCCAGCAGCCGCGGUAAU
RNAcentral lists this ribosomal RNA (501 nucleotides) under uncultured bacterium. Its description in RNAcentral is "bacterial SSU rRNA". It matches the Rfam family "Bacterial small subunit ribosomal RNA", at positions 30 to 524 of the family's 1533-position model. The record is from RNAcentral.